RNAcentral lists this small RNA (463 nucleotides) under Histoplasma capsulatum var. duboisii H88. RNAcentral describes it as "Histoplasma capsulatum H88 hypothetical RNA". The record is from RNAcentral. Lineage: Eukaryota; Fungi; Ascomycota; Eurotiomycetes; Onygenales; Ajellomycetaceae.
UGGCAGCAGGGACCUCAUCUGGCUCCCCAGACCGAGGAAAGUGGGUUUUAGUUCUCGUCUGUAUCUUGCAACUCAUAACCUGUCAGCAGGACGGUGCGUGCGCCCAAGCUCCAGAGGCCAUCGUCAACUCGUUGCUGGCAGCUGGCGGGCGGACUACUCGAGCGGACUGGAGACCCUGUGCCGCUUGGCCCACGAGCUAAGGGUGGAGAAACAGAGAGAAACAAAAUGCUGAACAGACAGCAGCUGGCCAUUCGUUGAUUCCAUUAUUUAUUGUGGAGCGAGAAAAAAAAGGCCUUGAUCAGAACUUCAGAAGUCUUCAGUCAGGUUCAAAGGACUUGUUACUGAAGGCUAGUGUGCCUGGUCGGCUCUGGCUUUGCUCCCGGGCCACAGAUGGACUCUGGAGGAUUUUAAUUUUCAUGAUUUCCAUACUAUUCUCAUUUGGAAGCCAAACGAGGGAAAGGAC